This 489-nucleotide ribosomal RNA is filed under the name uncultured bacterium. RNAcentral's name for it is "partial 16S ribosomal RNA". It matches the Rfam family "Bacterial small subunit ribosomal RNA", at positions 29 to 506 of the family's 1533-position model. The record is from RNAcentral.
AUUGAACGCUAGCGGCAUGCCUUACACAUGCAAGUCGAACGGCAUCGCGGGAAAGCUUGCUUUCCUGGCGGCGAGUGGCGAACGGGUGAGUAACACAUCGGAACGUACCGGCUAGUGGGGGAUAACCCGUCGAAAGACGGGCUAAUACCGCAUACGCUCUUCGGAGGAAAGCAGGGGACCUUUGGGCCUUGCGCUAGCCGAGCGGCCGAUGUCCGAUUAGCUAGUUGGUGGGGUAAAGGCCUACCAAGGCGACGAUCGGUAGCGGGUCUGAGAGGACGAUCCGCCACACUGGGACUGAGACACGGCCCAGACUCCUACGGGAGGCAGCAGUGGGGAAUCUUGGACAAUGGGGGCAACCCUGAUCCAGCAAUGCCGCGUGGGUGAAGAAGGCCUUCGGGUUGUAAAGCCCUUUCGGCAGGGAAGAAAUCGGCGGGGCGAAUAACCCUGCUGGAUGACGGUACCUGCAGAAGAAGCACCGGCUAACUACGU